Molecule: ribosomal RNA, 433 nt
Filed under: uncultured bacterium
Lineage: Bacteria
Description: bacterial SSU rRNA
Rfam family: Bacterial small subunit ribosomal RNA
Source: RNAcentral
AACGAACGCUGGCGGCAGGCCUAACACAUGCAGGUCGAGCGAACCCUUCGGGGUUAGCGGCGGACGGGUGAGUAACGCGUGGGAACGUGCCCUUUGCUACGGAAUAGCCCCGGGAAACUGGGAGUAAUACCGUAUGUGCCCUUCGGGGGAAAGAUUUAUCGGCAAAGGAUCGGCCCGCGUUGGAUUAGGUAGUUGGUGGGGUAAUGGCCUACCAAGCCGACGAUCCAUAGCUGGUUUGAGAGGAUGAUCAGCCACACUGGGACUGAGACACGGCCCAGACUCCUACGGGAGGCAGCAGUGGGGAAUCUUAGACAAUGGGCGCAAGCCUGAUCUAGCCAUGCCGCGUGAUCGAUGAAGGCCUUAGGGUUGUAAAGAUCUUUCAGUGGGGAAGAUAAUGACUGUACCCACAGAAGAAGCCCCGGCUAACUCCGUG